Molecule: long non-coding RNA, 2242 nt
Organism: Setaria italica (foxtail millet)
Lineage: Eukaryota; Viridiplantae; Streptophyta; Magnoliopsida; Poales; Poaceae
Exons: 11
Source: RefSeq, a predicted model, not a curated record
CUGGCUUGGUUCUGUUCUAGGCAAACCUGGCAGUUCAGUGUCAUCUCUCCUCCGAUCCCCUCCCUGCCUUCAACUCCCAUCUCGCCUCCAUUCCCAAGAUUUCUCCAAGAUCAUCCUCACUCAAACCUCCCAUUCCAAGCGUGAGAUUCAGUGUGCUGUUCAACCUCGCCCCAGAGGAGUUCAAGGUCCUGCCCCAGACGAGCACCAUCAUCAGUCAAAGGGGGGAAUGAAGAGUUAGGAAGACGCAGGGAACACAAAUAGAAAGACUUUGCUACCAUGGCUGAGGAUAUUUGGACCCUAAAUCUUGAAUGUGAUGGAGCAGCUUCAGGAUAGAAAUAUGCGAAAAGGGAAAUGGACAGAGAUGAAAUAUGUUACUUUAACUUGAUUAGUUUGAUCGAGGAAUAUGGGUACAAAUCUAUUGCCUAUCUAUACUACAAGAGAAGUGAUAGUUUGGUUGCAAUACAAUGGGAUACUGAGGUGAUGGAAAUGCUUAAAGAGAAUGAGAGCAAGAAGGAGGUUAGCUUGUUUGUGACAAGGCAGAAAAUUGCUAUCAUAGCACCUGAGUCCAACAAAGAAGCAACCAAACCCGCACCAAAGAAGGCUAAAGGGAAAAGGGAUACGAAGAAAAGGCAGGAGCUAAAUGUAAUUCAAACUGAAGCACAAUAUGCCAAUGAAGUUGACCAACAGCAUGACGAUGACAUCGAAGAAAUGCUAGGUGAUGUCAAUAAUGAAGUAACCAGGUGAAAGGGAACAGUUCUGACACAUGUUUGGAAUUUACCAGAGGAAAAACGAAUACCAGUUUGGACAGCCUAUAGGAAAACAAGGUGGUCUUUUAGGGCAAUUUUUAGGCACCAUAGCCCGAAAUGGUUGGAGAAACGUCAAGAAGGAUAAUUCUGAAACCAUACUUCAAUGCAUUCAGACAAAGUUCUUGUAUCCUCGCUCAUGUGACAAAUGGAUAUUGAAAUCGAUCGGGAGAGAUUGGAGAAAGUACAAGUAACACUAAAAACGAAGCUAUUUAACCCAAAGAAGAAAAGGCCAGCUUUGUAUAAGCUCUGUCCAGAUGAUAUUGAUGAAGAUCAAUGGAAAGGAAUUGUUAAAUAUUGGAAGUCAUAAGAAGGAAAGACCCAUAGUGAGAAGAACAAAAUAAGUCGUGAAAUGAAGAAGACAACACAUACAGCGGGUGCAAAGAGUUAUGCUCGUUGGUCUGAGGAAUUGGCUGAGUCGGAAAAUCUCAUAGAUAAACGACCAGAGUUAGCACAAAAUAGUGAGGGAAGAGUUGCAUGGGAAGGUGAUGCAUUACAUCAAGUGUUGGGAGAAGAGAAAUCUGGACAAGUAUAUGGAAUGGGAUUGCUUCCAAUUCCUAAACAAGUUUAUGGCCGAACAACACGUCGUUUCAAGGACAUUAAUAUAGCUACAAUAGAUGGAUCAUCCGCUGAUGUAGAGAUUCAUAUGUUGGAGGAAAUUAAGCAACUCAAGGAGCAUAUGAGAAAUCGAGACAAAGUCAUUGAUGAGCUCUUAAUAAACAAGCAGGGGCACCAUGGGAAUGAAGAACCAACAAAGGCCAAUUGCAUAUCAACUGAUGAUCAUGAUAAUUUUCGUAAUCAUGUAGCACAUUCCAACAGAAAGAGAGUUCAAUGUGCUAAACCAAACUGUGGAGAAGCAUUUUGUAAACAGAGGGAUAGAUUGGUAAGUCGCACUCCUAGUACAAAUGUUACCUUUGUCCUCUGCAUAGAUGUAUAUGAUAACUUAUACUAUCCCCUUUAUUCUAUUUACUAGAACAAACAUACAUGUGAAUAUGAAUAUAGUGACGUUGGUGAUUAAUUUUGUCCAACAAAAAGGUUAUCAAGUUGUUGCUUGAGCCCUACUCUUAGUUUAUUAUACAUUGAUAUUUGGGCCUGGUGUUUUAUGGAUUUAUGUGUGGACCAGUAUCAAGAGGAUGCUAAUUACAACGAAUUUUCACAUCUGCAAGUAGAGCCAUCUUCCCGACAAUGCUCUUCUAAUGAUUUGAGACAAAAGGAGGUACAUCAUUCUAGCGGAAUCAUUGACUAAAUAUAUAGUAUCCAUGCAAUGUUUCAUUCAUUCAGGAUUAUUGUUGCACUUGUACAACUGUAUAAAUACACUAUUUUCACUUGCAUUUAGUUUGAUGUGUGUAUAUAGAAUUCAAGUGAUGGUAGAAUAAAAAAAAGAAAGGUAUAUGAGAAACACACUUCUCUAUUGAUAAAAUUAAUAUUUUUAUGCUAAA